UACAGAGACCUCUAGCGUUAUCCGGAAUGAUUGGGCGUAAAGCGUCCGCAGGUGGCAGUUCAAGUCUGCUGUCAAAGACCGGGGCUUAACCUCGGAAAGGCAGUGUAAACUGAACAGCUAGAGUAUGGUAGGGGCAAAGGGAAUUCCUGGUGUAGCGGUGAAAUGCGUAGAGAUCAGGAAGAACAUCGGUGGCGAAGGCGCUUUGCUGGACCAUAACUGACACUCAGGGACGAAAGCUAGGGGAGCGAAUGGG
RNAcentral lists this ribosomal RNA (253 nucleotides) under uncultured bacterium. RNAcentral describes it as "partial 16S ribosomal RNA". It matches the Rfam family "Bacterial small subunit ribosomal RNA", at positions 524 to 776 of the family's 1533-position model. The record is from RNAcentral.